RNAcentral lists this small RNA (90 nucleotides) under Tenacibaculum piscium. Its description in RNAcentral is "Flavo-1 RNA". It matches the Rfam family "Flavo-1 RNA". Lineage: Bacteria; Pseudomonadati; Bacteroidota; Flavobacteriia; Flavobacteriales; Flavobacteriaceae. The record is from Rfam by way of RNAcentral.
UUUUAGCCCCGAUUGAAGCAAUUGUUUGAGCUCUUUUUUAUUUUUCUUUUUAAAAAAUAAAAAAAGCGAGUGCGGAAAGCGGGAUUAGCU